UUAAGCGACUAAGCGUACACGGUGGAUGCCCUGGCAGUCAGAGGCGAUGAAGGACGUGCUAAUCUGCGAAAAGCGUCGGUAAGGUGAUAUGAACCGUUAUAACCGGCGAUGUCCGAAUGGGGAAACCCAGUGCAAUUCGUUGCACUAUCGUUAACUGAAUACAUAGGUUAACGAGGCGAACCGGGGGAACUGAAACAUCUAAGUACCCCGAGGAAAAGAAAUCAACCGAGAUUCCCCCAGUAGCGGCGAGCGAACGGGGAGCAGCCCAGAGUCUGAAUCAGCUUGUGUGUUAGUGGAACGGUCUGGAAAGUCCGACGGUACAGGGUGAUAGUCCCGUACACCAAAAUGCACAGGCUGUGAACUCGAAGAGUAGGGCGGGACACGUGGUAUCCUGUCUGAAUAUGGGGGGACCAUCCUCCAAGGCUAAAUACUCCUGACUGACCGAUAGUGAACCAGUACCGUGAGGGAAAGGCGAAAAGAACCCCGGCGAGGGGAGUGAAAAAGAACCUGAAACCGUGUACGUACAAGCAGUGGGAGCACCUUCGGGUGUGACUGCGUACCUUUUGUAUAAUGGGUCAGCGACUUAUAUUCUGUAGCAAGGUUAACCGUAUAGGGGAGCCGCAGGGAAACCGAGUCUUAACUGGGCGUUAAGUUGCAGGGUAUAGACCCGAAACCCGGUGAUCUAGCCAUGGGCAGGUUGAAGGUUGGGUAACACUAACUGGAGGACCGAACCGACUAAUGUUGAAAAAUUAGCGGAUGACUUGUGGCUGGGGGUGAAAGGCCAAUCAAACCGGGAGAUAGCUGGUUCUCCCCGAAAGCUAUUUAGGUAGCGCCUCGUGAACUCAUCUUCGGGGGUAGAGCACUGUUUCGGCUAGGGGGUCAUCCCGACUUACCAACCCGAUGCAAACUACGAAUACCGAAGAAUGUUAUCACGGGAGACACACGGCGGGUGCUAACGUCCGUCGUGAAGAGGGAAACAACCCAGACCGCCAGCUAAGGUCCCAAAGUCAUGGUUAAGUGGGAAACGAUGUGGGAAGGCACAGACAGCCAGGAUGUUGGCUUAGAAGCAGCCAUCAUUUAAAGAAAGCGUAAUAGCUCACUGGUCGAGUCGGCCUGCGCGGAAGAUGUAACGGGGCUAAACCAUGCACCGAAGCUGCGGCAGCGACACUAUGUGUUGUUGGGUAGGGGAGCGUUCUGUAAGCCUGCGAAGGUGUGCUGUGAGGCAUGCUGGAGGUAUCAGAAGUGCGAAUGCUGACAUAAGUAACGAUAAAGCGGGUGAAAAGCCCGCUCGCCGGAAGACCAAGGGUUCCUGUCCAACGUUAAUCGGGGCAGGGUGAGUCGACCCCUAAGGCGAGGCCGAAAGGCGUAGUCGAUGGGAAACAGGUUAAUAUUCCUGUACUUGGUGUUACUGCGAAGGGGGGACGGAGAAGGCUAUGUUAGCCGGGCGACGGUUGUCCCGGUUUAAGCAUGUAGGCUGGUUAUCCAGGCAAAUCCGGAUAAUCAAGGCUGAGGUGUGAUGACGAGGCACUACGGUGCUGAAGUAACAAAUGCCCUGCUUCCAGGAAAAGCCUCUAAGCAUCAGGUAACAUUAAAUCGUACCCCAAACCGACACAGGUGGUCAGGUAGAGAAUACCAAGGCGCUUGAGAGAACUCGGGUGAAGGAACUAGGCAAAAUGGUGCCGUAACUUCGGGAGAAGGCACGCUGGUGUGUAGGUGAAGCCCCUGCGGGUGGAGCUGAGACCAGUCGAAGAUACCAGCUGGCUGCAACUGUUUAUUAAAAACACAGCACUGUGCAAACACGAAAGUGGACGUAUACGGUGUGACGCCUGCCCGGUGCCGGAAGGUUAAUUGAUGGGGUUAUCCGUAAGGAGAAGCUCUUGAUCGAAGCCCCGGUAAACGGCGGCCGUAACUAUAACGGUCCUAAGGUAGCGAAAUUCCUUGUCGGGUAAGUUCCGACCUGCACGAAUGGCGUAAUGAUGGCCAGGCUGUCUCCACCCGAGACUCAGUGAAAUUGAACUCGCUGUGAAGAUGCAGUGUACCCGCGGCAAGACGGAAAGACCCCGUGAACCUUUACUAUAGCUUGACACUGAACAUUGAGCCUUGAUGUGUAGGAUAGGUGGGAGGCUUUGAAGCGUGGACGCCAGUCUGCGUGGAGCCAACCUUGAAAUACCACCCUUUAAUGUUUGAUGUUCUAACGUUGGCCCCUGACCGGGGUUGCGGACAGUGUCUGGUGGGUAGUUUGACUGGGGCGGUCUCCUCCCAAAGCGUAACGGAGGAGCACGAAGGUUAGCUAAUCCUGGUC
This 2302-nucleotide ribosomal RNA is filed under the name Klebsiella pneumoniae. Its description in RNAcentral is "bacterial LSU rRNA". It matches the Rfam family "Bacterial large subunit ribosomal RNA", at positions 1 to 2332 of the family's 2925-position model. Lineage: Bacteria; Pseudomonadati; Pseudomonadota; Gammaproteobacteria; Enterobacterales; Enterobacteriaceae. The record is from RNAcentral.